CGCCGCGGCUGGCGGCUGCGCCCGAGUCCGCGCUGGGGAGGCGGCUCCUCUGCGCCCCGGCUCCUCUCCGCGAGCGCCCGUCACCGUCGUCCUCCUGGUGAGGUGCGGGCGGCGCUGAAGCUGCCAGGCGCCAGGGGCUGGCGACCUUGGGUGGCUUUGGACAUUUCUGCCUAAUGGGACUUCUGUAACCCUUGGAAGUCGCCGCGCUCACUUCUUCCGAGCCUGUCUGACGGCGGCAGCGCUGGUGCCCAAGGGCACGGCCCCGCCAAGCCACAGGGCGAGGCUGCGAGGCUGCGAGGCUGCGAGGCGCGGCGUCCCUGCUCCCCGCUACAUCCACGCCGGGCUCCUUCCUCGGAGCCCGCGCUCGCGCUGGCGGCGGCGCCCCGGCUGCUGCUGCGCUCGUCUGAGCUGUGCCCCGAGCGGCGACGCCGGGCGGGCGGCGGGUGGACGUAGGGAGCCCCGCUCCAGCCCCUCCUUGCCACGGUCGCGCGGCGGGGAGGCUGCGCUGCUCCGGUGCGGCUCGCCCUUCUACCGGCACAGAUAAGCAAAAGUUUGGGGCGGGCUGUACUCUCUCCCUGGCGAGGGCUGGUCCGCUACCUUGCUCCCUGCCAGGCGAGACCCUUGUCGGCUCUCUGCCUUCUCCUGGGCGCUGCCACCCUGCGCUCGGCUGGGCGCGCUGGCGAUUCUGCUCCCUGCAACGCGCGAGGCGCUCAGUCCCCCACCCCGGGGUCAGAGGUGGCCUUCCCUUCUCCCGUCCCAGGAUGGGGGGAACCAACACCGUACACCACCCUGCAGCCGGAUUAGAGGGGCCAGGUCAGCUUCACCCGCGGUACACACUACAGCGCAGCAAAAUCAACCGACUUUCCCAUGGCACCGUUUGAGGCCAGAGCAACCUUUUGGGGUGGGAAUCCGAGCGGCAGAGGUGCUAUUCAGCUUACACCUGAGCUAUUUCAGGACCUGACCCUUGUUCUGAAGAAGUCGCCGUGGGGGUGCCAGCCUCUCACUCCGACGUCUAGAGAAAGGACCCUAUAUGCCCUAUAUUGCUGGAUGGAGACACACAAGACUGCUUCUGAGGCUUCCCAGUCCGGGCCACCCAGGCCACCCUUUGUGGAGCCCGAGCUAAGGUCGCGCACCCUCAUAGGGUGCGGGGCGCCCAGACGCUGGGAUGCAGGAUGAGCCCAGGCUCGCGUCUUUCCACCCUCAAAGCAGGUGCACAGUGCCCUCUCGCGUCCGCGUCGGAGAAUUUCAAGGCGUUGUCCAGGUUCUCCAAAAUCAUUCCGCAGAAGGUGGCAAGCUUUAUGACUUUCCAUGAGGUCCUCGCCAUCUUUUUAGAGUACAAAUGUUUAUAUCAGUGCACCUUCAUAAAGCCUUCUGAUACUGAAAUAGAAAGUGUUCCUGUAGUAGUUUGAACUAUGCUGCUAUGAAACAAAUUGUAAGCAAAUAUUUAUUGGGAAAUCAGUAAUAUGCCAGAGCCUUACACAUCUCUAUCAUCUAUCUAUUAUUUAUCUAUCUAGUAAGAAGUAGUAUUAUCUAGUGUCUUACAGAAGAAGGAACUGAGACAGCCAAACGGGAGUUUGCCCGAGAUGCCAGUGAUGUCAGCCAAGCAAGAGUUACAAUUGUGAGGAAAUAAUUCAGGGCCACUUCCCAAGGAGCCGCCACAGUCGCCAGUGUGCUCUGUGUGAUACGUAGGAGAAGUUGGGCUGGUUAUAAGGGGGGAGUUCCUCCUUUUUAGAUGGAGAAACUUCAGACUCAAGGGUUUUCCCGUGUUGUUUUCUUUCUCAAGUUGUGUGAAAAGUCCAACGGUGCUAUUUAAUACUUCAUUACUUCCAUAUAGAAGGCCUCUUCCCCUCCGGGAACUUGAGGACAUUCAUUUUGUCUCAUUAAUCUUCAGGAAAGGCUGUGCGUAUUUUUAUUUCCAUUUUACAAUUAGAGAAACUGGUUUCAGAGGAAGAUAAAUGACUUGCCCAAGGUCAUAUAGUAAAUCAAGACAGAGACAAGAACAAGCUUGUCUUGUCAGAGUGUCUCCCAACCGGCCGCAGUGAUUCUCCUUUAUUUAUGUGCAAAGACUCGUCCAAUUAGGAAAUAAAGCAGUCUGUGCUCUCUGGAGAGGAAGCCUCUUAUAAAUUAAUCAUUUGUUAAUCUGCCAUAAAUAAAAACCUACUUACUUUUGACCUCUCGAGGAAACUUGCUGUCUAGAGACUUCACGAAUCUGAGCUACGGAGACUUCUCUUUUCCAGAUUCCCCUUCUACUUCCGUUGUACAUGUUUCCCACACAUGCUCAAGUUUCUGUUGUAAACCCCUGUCCUUCUGUCUUUCUCCUGCUGGCCUUAGCAUUUGGAACCCCUCCAUACAUUUCAUUCUAGAGGCUACUAUAUCUAUGCACAAUUUCAGGACAGUUUAUGUCUCUCCUGUAGAGACACACGGAAAUCCAAGAACAAUGAUUGGCUGAUUUUAAGAUUCAGAUCCGUAGCCUUUUAGAGCCUGUGAGACCUUUCCGUAUCAUCCCUAGCACUCAAAUUCAGAGAGGAAGCAAAGAUCCAGGAAAGUCAAGUUCCUUACCCAAGGCCCCAUGCCCAGGGUGGCACAGGACUGGGACAAGAACCCGGUCUGGUCCUUACCUUGCUCUUUUUGGUGUCCUACGUUACCUCACCUUCGCCAUGAGCACCUCCCUGCCACCAAAUGCAUUCAUUUGCUCCUCGAGUGUUCAUUAAGUAGCCACUGCAGGUCCAGGCACCAAAGCACAAAGAGUUUUUCUUCAUUAAUUGGAACUGGAAGGAUUUCAGCAUUUAAAAUAUGUAAAGAAUAAUAAACUGGCAGCUUUUUAUACGUGAAAGAAUUGGGAAGAUUGCAAAAAUACAUAGAUGCUAUUUUCUUCUAUUUCUAUUAUUAUCCAAAUUUUAUAAAUCAUAACAUUAGAUAAAAUUUGAAAUUAAACUUUACUUAACAUUGUAGACAAAAAUGUAUGGUAAACAGUACCUGCCUGUUAUGCCUCCCACCACAACCUUAAAAUUAAUUUACCCAGCAUACACUGUGGUGGACAGAUAACUGUAUAAGGUAUUUUUGAAUGAUGAUGCUUUAUGAAAGUUUUUUCUUUAAAUAAAAAAUUUCAAAACAUACAUCAAGCUGAUUAUUUUUUAAUAUGAUUGGGGUCAGAUUUCUUUUGCCAGGAAGCAGUCCAUCCUUGCCUACAGAAAAAUCACUGGGAAAACAGCUUGUGGAGAAAGUUGGUUUUAGGCACUGUUUUGGAAAUGUUUUGCAAUGACAAGAACCAUGGCAAAAUGUAAAGUUAACACUGACUCUCUCUGUAAUUAAUUAAUAAUAACUAUAUUUCGGUUCUCAUUCUAAAUAUCAAAAAACAGCUUUUCUGCUCUGCAACUCGAUUUAAGGUUACAGAGUGAAAAAUAAUUUGUUUUGAAAUUUUCUUGGUGCUACAUGCGGUUUCUUACUAUUUUGUUUAGAAGGUAAAUGUUCACACCUAGUGGGUAUAAAAAUUAAAUUCCAUUAACAUCUAUUAAACGUCAGUCCCCAGGGUGUCUAGCCUCAUAAGAGUCAAAGAUAUAUAAUAUUAAUCUUAAAAUACUAAAUGUGUCUCACCUUUUUUAACCACAUGCUACAAAGCAUCAAGAAAGAGCAUGUGGCGUAGGAGGAGAUGAGAAUAACAGGCUUGAGUGAUGGAAGAGCCAGUCUGUUCUCUGGUGGCUGGGAGCGAGGCAUGGGUUUGGCACCUUAACUAGGGGCAAGGAGGCUGGGGUGUCUGUUAAUACGCCCGAGCUGUAGACGUUAUAUCUGUGUGUGACAACACACACAUGAAAGAGGGAGAGACGGAGCAGUGGGGAGUGCCAGCAGGAUGCCGUUAGAUUAUUCAUGGCUGGUGGAAUAGGCUUUUCUUGCUUUAAGAAAGAAACAAAGGGGGGCUGGGGAUUUAGCUCAGCGGCAAAAGCGCCUGCCUAGCAAGCGCAAGGUCGUGAGUUCGGUUCCCGGUACCAGAGAAAAACCAAAAAAAAAAAAAAAAAAAAAAAAAAAAAAAAAAAAAAAAAAAAGAAAGAAACAAAGGGGGUAAAAUGCAUGUUCUAGGAGUCAUAGACUUGGAGGUCACUGAUAGAAAGAAUGCCAAGCAAGACACUGUGUUGGUGCCAAAAAAAAAAGAAAGUGAGAUUCAUUUCAAAGCUCUUUUCCUCUCGUCUCUGAAAAGCUCCAGAAGUUCUCUGUCUUGAUAUGCACUCAAAAAGGGAAGGCAGAGAAACAUUUAAUGCAGUGUUUCCCGGAGGUAAAAAUGGUCAUUGGAGCAACAUUUUAAUAGAUAAAAAUAGAUAACUCUUUGAAGUACCUCUUUCUGUCAUUUCCUUCAAGUCAGAAAAGUUACUUCAGCACUUACAAGUCAGGUUGUAUAACCUUAUUAUACAAGUGAAAUGAUAUUGAUAAAAGCUGUGUCAGAGGAGUCCAAGUGACUCAUACAUACAGUCGCAACAAUGAAGUCACUAAAUUUGUGACCAGUUAUCUAACUUGAAUGAGCAGUAAUUGUUCCCAUCAAAGGGUUUCUUUCCCCUUAGGAACUGGGACAAUCAAUUGAAUGGCAUCUGUUUCCUGAGCUCUACCUGACCCCUGAUGACAGAUUUGUGGUCUUCUUUUUUUAUGGGCAAAGUAAUUUCAUCUUUGCUUUAAAAUUUUUAUUUCUUUUAAUUUAAUUUAAUUUAAAUUUCCUGUUGGCAUAUGUACUUCAUAACACUUGAAUCCUUCACUUGUAAGAAAUCUGUGCAUAAUCAGAGCUCUUAAGAAGCCUAUAGCCUUGCACCUUUGCAGCUUUGGAGAGAGGCUGAGUGGAGUGCAUUGCCCUCCUGACACAGUCUUCAACCCUGAGAUGAUUUUUAUAUACAUACGAAGUUGUGGCUUUGCAAACACAAGACCUAAGUGAUCCAUACACCAGCAAAGCCCAGUGUCUAGAUGUGUACUUGAAAAAUUCAUGCAUACGCGAUGUUCUGAAUACACUUUUCAAACUUUUCAGCUGAAUAGUUUCACUUCCCAAUUUUUCAGAAAACUUUAAAAACUUCGUAGUAUGUCUUAACAGUUGUUCAGCUGUCUUGUGCGAGUGAGCCCACAUCCCCAGCACUUGGACCAGGACCACGGUCUCUCAGCCAACCUCUUGUGACAUCAGAGGACACGCUGGGGUCAUGAGCAAGAACAGGGGCUCUUCACAGGCCUGCUCAGAAAAAAAAAUAUAAAUAACAUGUGGCUUAUAUUGUACAGCUGUAUAAAGUUCAGAUGAAACAGAUGUUUAAAGAUUAAAAUCAGGGACUGGUGGCACACGCCUGUAUUGCAGUACUUGGAGGCUGAGAUAGGUGGAUCAUCAGAAGUUUGAGACCACACACAGCUAGAUAGUGAGUUCAAGGCCAGUCUAGACUAC
RNAcentral lists this long non-coding RNA (5401 nucleotides) under Chinchilla lanigera (long-tailed chinchilla). RNAcentral's name for it is "lncRNA (ENSCLAG00000024650.1)". The record is from RNAcentral. Lineage: Eukaryota; Metazoa; Chordata; Mammalia; Rodentia; Chinchillidae.